Molecule: ribosomal RNA, 322 nt
Filed under: Cyprinodon variegatus (sheepshead minnow)
Lineage: Eukaryota; Metazoa; Chordata; Actinopteri; Cyprinodontiformes; Cyprinodontidae
Description: SSU rRNA
Rfam family: Eukaryotic small subunit ribosomal RNA
Source: RNAcentral
UAGGAAUUGACGGAAGGGCACCACCUGGAGUGGAGCCUGCGGCUUAAUUUGACCCAACACGGGAAACCUCACCCGGCCCGGACACGGAAAGGAUUGACAGAUUGAUAGCUCUUUCUCGAUUCUGUGGGUGGUGGUGCAUGGCCGUUCUUAGUUGGUGGAGCGAUUUGUCUGGUUAAUUCCGAUAACGAACGAGACUCCGGCAUGCUAACUAGUUACGCGGCCCCGUGCGGUUCGGGCGUCCCACUUUCUUUAGGAAGGGGACAAGUGGCGUUCAGCCACACGAGAUUGAGCAAUAACAGGUCUGUGAUGCCCUUAGAUGUCC